UACAGAGGUCUCAAGCGUUGUUCGGAUUCAUUGGGCGUAAAGGGUGCGUAGGCGGCGCGGUAAGUCGGGUGUGAAAUCUUGGAGCUUAACUCCGAAACUGCAUUCGAUACUGCGGUGCUUGAGGACUGGAGAGGAGACUGGAAUUCAUGGUGUAGCAGUGAAAUGCGUAGAUAUCGUAAGGAAGACCAGUGGCGAAGGCGAAUCUCUGGACAGUUACUGACACUGAGGCACGAAGGCCAGGGGAGCAAACGGG
This 253-nucleotide ribosomal RNA is filed under the name uncultured bacterium. RNAcentral describes it as "partial 16S ribosomal RNA". It matches the Rfam family "Bacterial small subunit ribosomal RNA", at positions 524 to 776 of the family's 1533-position model. The record is from RNAcentral.